This 133-nucleotide ribosomal RNA is filed under the name Sebacina sp. RNAcentral describes it as "partial large subunit ribosomal RNA". It matches the Rfam family "Eukaryotic large subunit ribosomal RNA", at positions 133 to 258 of the family's 3401-position model. The record is from RNAcentral. Lineage: Eukaryota; Fungi; Basidiomycota; Agaricomycetes; Sebacinales; Sebacinaceae.
GGCGUCCGAGUUGUAAUCUAUAGAAGUGUUUUCCGCGAUGGACCGUGCACAAGUCUCCUGGAACGGUGCGUCAUAGAGGGUGAGAAUCCCGUAUAUGGCACGGACUCCCAUUGCUAUGUGAUACACUCUCGAC